This 506-nucleotide ribosomal RNA is filed under the name uncultured bacterium. RNAcentral describes it as "partial 16S ribosomal RNA". It matches the Rfam family "Bacterial small subunit ribosomal RNA", at positions 30 to 523 of the family's 1533-position model. The record is from RNAcentral.
AUUGAACGCUGGCGGCAUGCCUUACACAUGCAAGUCGAACGGCAGCAUGGAAGAGCUUGCUCUUCUGAUGGCGAGUGGCGAACGGGUGAGUAAAGCAUCGGAACGUACCGGGUAGUGGGGGAUAACGUAGCGAAAGUUACGCUAAUACCGCAUACGCACUGAGGUGGAAAGCAGGGGAUCGCAAGACCUUGCCCAAUACGAUCGGCCGAUGUCAGAUUAGCCAGUUGGUAGGGUAAAGGGAGACCAAGGCGACGAUCUGUAGCGGGUCUGAGAGGAUGAUCCGCCACACUGGGACUGAGACACGGCCCAGACUCCUACGGGAGGCAGCAGUGGGGAAUUUUGGACAAUGGGCGAAAGCCUGAUCCAGCCAUGCCGCGUGAGUGAAGAAGGCCUUCGGGUUGUAAAGCUCUUUCGGCUGGGAAGAAAUCGCACAGGCUAAUACUCUGUGUGGAUGACGGUACCAGCACAAGAAGCACCGGCUAACUACGUGCCAGCAGCCGCCGUAA